RNAcentral lists this ribosomal RNA (445 nucleotides) under uncultured bacterium. RNAcentral describes it as "bacterial SSU rRNA". It matches the Rfam family "Bacterial small subunit ribosomal RNA", at positions 331 to 792 of the family's 1533-position model. The record is from RNAcentral.
CCAGACUCCUACGGGAGGCAGUAGUGGGGAAUAUUGCACAAUGGGGGAAACCCUGAUGCAGCAACGCCGCGUGAGUGAAGAAGUAUUUCGGUAUGUAAAGCUCUAUCAGCAGGGAAGAAGAAGGACGGUACCUGACUAAGAAGCCCCGGCUAACUACGUGCCAGCAGCCGCGGUAAUACGUAGGGGGCGAGCGUUAUCCGGAUUUACUGGGUGUAAAGGGAGCGUAGACGGUUUUUCAAGUCUGAAGUGAAAGCCCGCGGCUCAACUGCGGAACGGCUUUGGAAACUGAGGGACUAGAGUGCUGGAGGGGCAGGCGGAAUUCCUGGUGUAGCGGUGAAAUGCGUAGAUAUUAGGAGGAACACCAGUGGCGAAGGCGGCUUACUGGACUGUAACUGACGUUGAGGCUCGAAAGCGUGGGGAGCAAACAGGAUUAGAUACCCGCGUA